GAUGAACGCUGGCGGCGUGCUUAACACAUGCAAGUCGAACGAAGCAUUUAAGACAGAUUACUUCGGUUUGAAGUCUUUUAUGACUGAGUGGCGGACGGGUGAGUAACGCGUGGGUAACCUGCCUCAUACAGGGGGAUAGCAGCUGGAAACGGCUGGUAAUACCGCAUAAGCGCACAGUACCACAUGGUACAGUGUGAAAAACUCCGGUGGUAUGAGAUGGACCCGCGUCUGAUUAGCUUGUUGGCGGGGUAACGGCCCACCAAGGCGACGAUCAGUAGCCGACCUGAGAGGGUGACCGGCCACAUUGGGACGGAGACACGGCCCAGACUCCUACGGGAGGCAGCAGUGGGGAAUAUUGCACAAUGGAGGAAACUCUGAUGCAGCGACGCCGCGUGAGUGAAGAAGUAGUUCGCUAUGUAAAGCUCUAUCAGCAGGGAAGAUAGUGACGGUACCUGACUAAGAAGCUCCGGCUAAAUACGUG
RNAcentral lists this ribosomal RNA (481 nucleotides) under uncultured bacterium. RNAcentral's name for it is "partial 16S ribosomal RNA". It matches the Rfam family "Bacterial small subunit ribosomal RNA", at positions 28 to 507 of the family's 1533-position model. The record is from RNAcentral.